Molecule: long non-coding RNA, 2305 nt
Organism: Brassica napus (rape)
Lineage: Eukaryota; Viridiplantae; Streptophyta; Magnoliopsida; Brassicales; Brassicaceae
Exons: 2
Source: RefSeq, a predicted model, not a curated record
GUUUGUUCAUAGGAAUCCAAAUCAACUUCUAUGUUUGGACCAAUCCUUAAAUCUUAUUACCAACUUCAGAGUUUGUAUGCCUUGGAUUGGGUGAACCCGAAUUUACCCGUUGACACUGCUCUGCGGUUUACAAAGUUUUUCAACACUAAAACCUGAAACUAUAUAUUAGCAGCAUUCCCUAAUAGGCUAAUAAAAUCUAUAAUAAUAAAACAGAUUUAUUUUUUCCCCUCUUCCUGCUGCCAUCUCAUCAUAUAGUAUAGGGCAUUUGUGACACAUCAGCAGUGUUGUUUCUAUGUACUUUUUCCUUUGCGAAAGUGAGUUUCGUUCGUGAACUUUAUUGGGCUAUGUUUUAAUAUACUUAAGUCUCUGAAAAAAAUCAACAAAACUAAGCCCAACUAAUACAUUUCAUCUAACCUAACGCCUCGCCUCUUUUCUUCUUCUAUCUUCGUAGCUGUUGAACGUUUUCUGACUUUUCCACUUCUUCUUCCAUUCCCAUUAACUUAAACCAUUAUUUCACUCAUCAAAACAAAAACAGCUUAACUCACAUCACCCUUCCACUUCCCUAUCCCACUCUAUAUAAGACGAUGUCGUCAUAUGAAGCCUUCACACUGCUCAAACCACCACCAAAAACCCACCUUAAGCUACAUUGGCGAACACAUAUUCUUUCAGUUCCACAGUUACAUGUGAAGAAUCUUAUAUUGCAAGAGAAGCGGCUGGUUCAUUUUCCCCAGAGCUCAGGUAUGGUGAUGAUCGUGAGGAAACAGUCGAUUCCGAGGAAGACAAUAACUACUGGUACUCUUUAACAGUUCAUACAAACGAUUUUUUUCCUCAUUAAUUGUUUUUCGUUGAUGGUUCUAUUUACCUAAAGUAUGAUGUGCUAUGAUGAUUUUAUUUUCUUAAUGAACUCUUGAAAAAAUCACUCUUUAUGCCUUCUUGCGAUGAUUAACUUAAAAGGAACUUCUCCUGGUGGCUUGGUUGAGGCAUGUUUCCCUUCAUGCAGGUCUCUGAACGUAUCCUUCUGAUUCAAAUUGUUGCAAGAUGCAACACCUAAAGCAUUCCGACAAUUGGGUACUGGUAAAAACUCUUUCUCUGACCUUUUUAUCAGUCUAAUCUUUAAAAUUGGAUAUUUUCAUUUGUUAGAAUUAUUUGAGACCUUUGUUAGACAUGUUCACUUUCCUUUGGCAGUUGAAGAGGCCAUGUUCUACUACAUUGCUGCUUUUUCCCCUAGCAUGUAUCACCAGACUCCAUACAGUAGGCAUAUGAACAUGCCGCUGCAAACACCAAGGUAAACGGAGGCUGAGCUAUGAUCCUUUACUACAACCAAGUUCAUUGAUACUGCUCACAUAUCUGGCAGGUGAUCACAAUUAACCUUCAUGUUCCAUUUAUCUGUGAGUUCUUCAUAGAGGUUCAGGAGAAGUACAUGUCGUUACCAAAUCCUGAUACUAUUAUAUGUUACAGUGUCCUAGAGUAAUCAUUGGAGAUGUAGAGAUAAGCAAGACUCUUGCUUGAACCAAGUACAUGGAGUAUGUUUUGGAAUGAGACUGAGGCAAGAAUCUGCAGGGUUCACGGCUGGGAGACAAUACAAGACGACUCUUGUGAUCACACAAGUUGCAGAUCAUGUGGUUUUUCGCCACCGAUGGAAAGGUGGAGAAGUACCCAGUCAUUCAUCUCCCAAGGAGAAGCGGUUUUAAUAGGCUAUGAUCUCAAAACUAGAACCUGUCAAAGAAGAUAACUUGGAGAUUAAAUCAGUGGGAGCAAUGGAGGAACGUGAUGUGAACCUUAAUUCUGAGGUACCCCUUCUGCUAUUAAUCUGCUCAACCCGGUUUUUCUCAAGACUAAGUAUAACCAAACACACUACGACGAUCUUGCCUCCAAAUGUCUUUCAAGGGUACAAAUUUAACAUCCUUUACCCGGAUUUCGUAGACAAGAUCAAAGCUCCCAUUUAAAAAAUAGAAAAAAUUGGGACCAGCGCUGAAACUUAUAUAAACCGGUUCCAUACUGGUACGCCUUACGAAGACAUUGCAAGUAUUCAGAACCAUUAAUUCUGCCAUUUCAUCAUAACCCCUAUGUUAUCUUGGUGAUCAAUUUUUUCUCCCAUAGAUGUGGUUUCUAUGUUAUUUUCCCCUUUGUGCAACUGAGUUUCGUUUGUAGCUUCAUUUGGGUUAUUGGGUUAGGUUUUACAUACUCAAUCUGGGGUGGCCAAACAUUAAUUUAAGGAUGUAUAUGCUGAUAUUUGUUAGAAAUGUAUAAAUAUGAUGGUCAAAAACAUGUUCAUCAAUAAUGUAUAUAAAUAUAAUCUUUCAAA